GACGAACGCUGGCGGCGUGCCUAAUACAUGCAAGUCGAACGGUGAAGGUUGGUACUUGUACCGACUGGGUGAGCAGAGCACGGGAGAGUAACGCGUGGGGAAUGUGCCUUAGAGCGGGGGACAACAUUGGGAAACGGAUGCUAAUACGGCAUAAACACUUUAUACACAGGGUUUAAGUUUGAAAGAUGGAAUUGCAUCACGCAAAGACGAUUCCGCGUUGUGUUGGCUAGUUGGUGGGGUAAAGGCUCACCGAGGGGGUGAUACAUAGCCGACCUGAGCGGGGGGUCGGCCCCAUUGGGACUGAGACCCGGCCCAAAGUCCUACAGGAGGCCGCAGUACGGAAGCGUGGGCGAUGGGCGGAAGUUUGACCGAGCAGCGCCGCGUGAGUGCAGAGGGUUUUCGGGUGGGAAAACUCUGUUUGUAGUGUAGAACGCUGGUGAGAGUGGAAAGCUCAUCAAGUGACGGUAACUGGACAAGAAGCACCGGCUAACUACGUG
This 497-nucleotide ribosomal RNA is filed under the name uncultured bacterium. RNAcentral describes it as "partial 16S ribosomal RNA". It matches the Rfam family "Bacterial small subunit ribosomal RNA", at positions 28 to 507 of the family's 1533-position model. The record is from RNAcentral.